CUGGUUAGUGGCUCAGUAGGAAGCACAGGGUUGUAGAUGGGUCAUAGACUGGUGGGAACAUACACUUCUCUGCUAUAAGUUCAUGAUUUAUUUAGCUAAAAACACAGAGCAUGUAAGGUGGCUGUUCAGUAGCAGUAGAUGCAACCUGUUUUUCUGUGGCUUUUCCUUCGCCCUUGGGUUUCCAACUAAGAGCACAGCAAAGUGAACUCAGGGAAUAUUUACCUCCAUUAGACACUCUUGGUUGUUGAGCCAAACUCAGCAUUAUCAAGAAUUCCUCCUCACCUAGACAAAAUGGGGAAAUGCAAGAGUCAAAAACACAAAUAAUGAAUUUCAGGAGAGUCAAGGCAUUUCUUGCAAGAUACAUGGCGAUGUUCUUCUAUGUCAGAUUAAAAUAGGACCUAAAAAGCACUGGUCUCAGUGAUACCUAUUUAUUUCAUUUUGCUCUGAAAUUUUCAGAAGCUAGAAAAAUACACACAAUUUGCACCUGAUCAAUGCUCUGCGAACUGCCUGCAGGAUUGUGUUCAUAUCCCAGUAAGAUUUAUUGCUAACCAACAUGCCAUGCUAAAUUGAAAUCAAGAUAUUACACAAUUUUCCAAUAAAGAGGUAAUUUUAUAAGUUGGUAUAAAUGCUUUGUGAGGAUGUAAUUGUUGGCAUCUUGUUAUAUUUCAAUAGCUGGUGGAAAAUGAGAUAAGUUGGAAGGUUUACAGAGGGUCAGAGCUCAUUAGAUGAGAAGAUCAUCUUUUUUUUCAGCUCUAGAAAGCACAUUUAUAGGCUGAUAACUAAACUGUUAUUCUUUAACAGUUGGAACAGUCAGUAUUUCCAAAACAUUCCAACUAAGUACAGCUAC
Prionailurus viverrinus (fishing cat) is the source of this 847-nucleotide long non-coding RNA. RefSeq lists it as uncharacterized. The transcript is spliced from 3 exons. The record is from RefSeq and is a predicted model, not a curated record. NCBI's taxonomy places the organism in Eukaryota, Metazoa, Chordata, Mammalia, Carnivora, Felidae.